GCGGGUGUGGCGGAAUUGGUAGACGCACUGGAUUUAGGUUCCAGCGCCGCAAGGCGUGGAGGUUCGAGUCCUCUCACCCGCA
Molecule: non-coding RNA, 82 nt
Organism: Devosia riboflavina
Lineage: Bacteria; Pseudomonadati; Pseudomonadota; Alphaproteobacteria; Hyphomicrobiales; Devosiaceae
Source: Rfam